RNAcentral lists this ribosomal RNA (255 nucleotides) under uncultured bacterium. Its description in RNAcentral is "partial 16S ribosomal RNA". It matches the Rfam family "Bacterial small subunit ribosomal RNA", at positions 79 to 334 of the family's 1533-position model. The record is from RNAcentral.
UCAAACCAAAGCUGGCGACCGGCGCACGGGUGAGUAACACGUAUCCAACCUGCCUCAUACUCGGGGAUAGCCUUUCGAAAGAAAGAUUAAUAUCCGAUAGCAUAUAUUUCCCGCAUGGGUUUUAUAUUAAAGAAAUUCGGUAUGAGAUGGGGAUGCGUUCCAUUAGUUUGUUGGGGGGUAACGGCCCACCAAGACUACGAUGGAUAGGGGUUCCGAGAGGAAGGUCCCCCACAUUGGAACUGAGACACGGUCCAA